This 63-nucleotide transfer RNA is filed under the name Cordylochernes scorpioides. Its description in RNAcentral is "tRNA-Thr". Lineage: Eukaryota; Metazoa; Arthropoda; Arachnida; Pseudoscorpiones; Chernetidae. The record is from RNAcentral.
UGGGAUGGGAAUCGAACCCACGACCUUCCGCUUACCGGGCAGAUGCCAUGACCACUAGGCCAC